CAUCGCCUCUUGAACUAAAUAAGUGGUCCAGCCUGCCCAGUGAAAUUAUUCAACGGCCGCGGUAUCCUAACCGUGCGAAGGUAGCGUAAUCACUUGUUCUUUAAAUGAGGACUAGUAUGAAUGGCACCACGAGGGUUCUACUGUCUCCUUUUUUAAAUCAGUGAAACUAAUCUUCCCGUGAAGAAGCGGGAAUUUUUUUAUAAGACGAGAAGACCCUAUGGAGCUUUAAACAAAUGACAUUUGCUUAAUCUAAUAUUUUAUUUUCAAGAAAUAUAGCAUUAUGAUCUUUAGUUUUCGAUUGGGGUGAUCACGGAGAAAAAUUUAACCUCCACGCCGAAAGGGUUUAUUCCCUAAGCAAAAAGCUACAGCUUUAAGCACUAAAAAAUUAACGUAGUUUGACCCAAUAUUUUGAUCAACGAACCAAGUUACCCUAGGGAUAACAGCGCAAUCCACUUCAAGAGCUCCUAUCGACAAGUGGGUUUACGACCUCGAUGUUGGAUCAGGGUAUCCUAGUGGUGCAGCCGCUACUAAUGGUUCGUUUGUUCAACGAUUAAAACCCU
RNAcentral lists this ribosomal RNA (560 nucleotides) under Mesobatrachia sp. T3.11. RNAcentral describes it as "partial 16S ribosomal RNA". It matches the Rfam family "Bacterial large subunit ribosomal RNA", at positions 1814 to 2597 of the family's 2925-position model. Lineage: Eukaryota; Metazoa; Chordata; Amphibia; Anura. The record is from RNAcentral.